CUACGGGAUGCACCAGUGGGGAAUAUUGCACAAUGGAGGAAACUCUGAUGCAGCAACGCCGCGUGGAGGAUGACACUUUUCGGAGCGUAAACUCCUUUUAUAUAGGAAGAAGAUGACGGUACUAUAUGAAUAAGCGCCGGCUAACUCCGUGCCAGCAGCCGCGGUAAUACGGAGGGCGAAAGCGUUACUCGGAAUCACUGGGCGUAAAGAGCGUGUAGGCGGAUUAAAAAGUCAGAAGUGAAAUCCUAUAGCUUAACUAUAGAACUGCUUCUGAAACUCCUAAUCUAGAAUAUGGGAGAGGUAGAUGGAAUUUCUGGUGUAGGGGUAAAAUCCGUAGAGAUCAGAAGGAAUACCGAUUGCGAAGGCGAUCUACUAGAACAUUAUUGACGCUGAGACGCGAAAGCGUGGGGAGCAAACAGGAUUAGAUACCCCCGUAGUC
This 439-nucleotide ribosomal RNA is filed under the name uncultured bacterium. RNAcentral's name for it is "partial 16S ribosomal RNA". It matches the Rfam family "Bacterial small subunit ribosomal RNA", at positions 339 to 795 of the family's 1533-position model. The record is from RNAcentral.